This 465-nucleotide ribosomal RNA is filed under the name Vreelandella stevensii. RNAcentral's name for it is "partial 16S ribosomal RNA". It matches the Rfam family "Bacterial small subunit ribosomal RNA", at positions 338 to 796 of the family's 1533-position model. Lineage: Bacteria; Pseudomonadati; Pseudomonadota; Gammaproteobacteria; Oceanospirillales; Halomonadaceae. The record is from RNAcentral.
CCUACGGGGGGCAGCAGUGGGGAAUAUUGGACAAUGGGGGGAACCCUGAUCCAGCCAUGCCGCGUGUGUGAAGAAGGCCCUCGGGUUGUAAAGCACUUUCAGUGAGGAAGAACGCCUGGUGGUUAAUACCCAUCAGGAAAGACAUCACUCACAGAAGAAGCACCGGCUAACUCCGUGCCAGCAGCCGCGGUAAUACGGAGGGUGCGAGCGUUAAUCGGAAUUACUGGGCGUAAAGCGCGCGUAGGUGGCUUGAUAAGCCGGUUGUGAAAGCCCCGGGCUCAACCUGGGAACGGCAUCCGGAACGGGCGAGAAGGAGUGCAGAGGAGGCAGGUAGCACGCCGGGUGGACCGGGGAUUGGGGUAGAGACCGGGCGGGGGGGGGGGGGCGACGGGGGGGAGAUGGGCAGACGAGGGCCCUGGGGUGCGAAUGCGUGUGUAGGAGUCCGGGUGCGGUACCCCGGUAGGC